Molecule: ribosomal RNA, 571 nt
Filed under: Microbacterium sp. ApTucson-A12
Lineage: Bacteria; Bacillati; Actinomycetota; Actinomycetes; Micrococcales; Microbacteriaceae
Description: bacterial SSU rRNA
Rfam family: Bacterial small subunit ribosomal RNA
Source: RNAcentral
ACUCCUACGGGAGGCAGCAGUGGGGAAUAUUGCACAAUGGGCGGAAGCCUGAUGCAGCAACGCCGCGUGAGGGAUGACGGCCUUCGGGUUGUAAACCUCUUUUAGCAGGGAAGAAGCGAAAGUGACGGUACCUGCAGAAAAAGCGCCGGCUAACUACGUGCCAGCAGCCGCGGUAAUACGUAGGGCGCAAGCGUUAUCCGGAAUUAUUGGGCGUAAAGAGCUCGUAGGCGGUUUGUCGCGUCUGCUGUGAAAUCCCGAGGCUCAACCUCGGGUCUGCAGUGGGUACGGGCAGACUAGAGUGCGGUAGGGGAGAUUGGAAUUCCUGGUGUAGCGGUGGAAUGCGCAGAUAUCAGGAGGAACACCGAUGGCGAAGGCAGAUCUCUGGGCCGUAACUGACGCUGAGGAGCGAAAGGGUGGGGAGCAAACAGGCUUAGAUACCCUGGUAGUCCACCCCGUAAACGUUGGGAACUAGUUGUGGGGACCAUUCCACGGUUUCCGUGACGCAGCUAACGCAUUAAGUUCCCCGCCUGGGGAGUACGGCCGCAAGGCUAAAACUCAAAGGAAUUGACGG